UUCGCAAUGCCCGAAAGGGUGACGAAGCGACGCCGCGUGGGUGAGGAAGGCCCUCGGGUUGUAAAGCCCUGUCAGGAGUUAAGAAAUGCAGAUACGCUAAUAUCGUAUCUAUUUGACAAAGGCUCCAAAGGAAGCCACGGCUAACUCUGUGCCAGCAGCCGCGGUAAUACAGAGGUGGCAAGCGUUGUUCGGAAUUAUUGGGCGUAAAGAGCACGUAGGUGGAUUUGUAAGUCAGAUGUGAAAGCCUUCUGUUCAACGGAAGAAUUGCAUCUGAAACUACAAACCUUGAGUAUAGGAGGGGAGAAUGGAACUUCUGGUGGAGCGGUGAAAUGCGUAGAUAUCAGAAGGAACGCCGGCGGCGAAAGCGAUUCUCUGGCCUAUUACUGACACUCAGUGUGCGAAAGCUAGGGGAGCAAACGGGAUUAGAUACCCCGGUAGUCCUAGCCGUAAACGAUGGGCACUAAGUAGAGGGGUUUU
Molecule: ribosomal RNA, 477 nt
Filed under: Candidatus Scalindua marina (nom. nud.)
Lineage: Bacteria; Pseudomonadati; Planctomycetota; Candidatus Brocadiia; Candidatus Brocadiales; Candidatus Scalinduaceae
Description: bacterial SSU rRNA
Rfam family: Bacterial small subunit ribosomal RNA
Source: RNAcentral